RNAcentral lists this ribosomal RNA (497 nucleotides) under uncultured bacterium. RNAcentral's name for it is "partial 16S ribosomal RNA". It matches the Rfam family "Bacterial small subunit ribosomal RNA", at positions 28 to 507 of the family's 1533-position model. The record is from RNAcentral.
GAUGAACGCUGGCGGCGUGCCUAAUACAUGCAAGUCGAGCGAACAGACGAGGAGCUUGCUCCUCUGACGUUAGCGGCGGACGGGUGAGUAACACGUGGAUAACCUACCUAUAAGACUGGGAUAACUUCGGGAAACAGGAGCUAAUACCGGAUAAUAUAUUGAACCGCAUGGUUCAAUAGUGAAAGACGGUUUUGCUGUCACUUAUAGAUGGAUCCGCGCCGCAUUAGCUAGUUGGUAAGGUAACGGCUUACCAAGGCAACGAUGCGUAGCCGACCUGAGAGAGUGAUCCGCCACACUGGAACUGCAGCAAGGUCCAGACUCCUACGGGAGGCAGCAGUAGGGAAUCUUCCGCAAUGGGCGAAAGCCUGACGGAGCAACGCCGCGUGAGUGAUGAAGGUCUUCGGAUCGUAAAACUCUGUUAUUAGGGAAGUACAAAUGUGUACGUAACUAUGCACGUCUUGACGGUACCUAAUCAGAAAGCCACGGCUAACUACGUG